Molecule: ribosomal RNA, 1333 nt
Filed under: uncultured bacterium
Lineage: Bacteria
Description: bacterial SSU rRNA
Rfam family: Bacterial small subunit ribosomal RNA
Source: RNAcentral
GACGAACGCUGGCGGCGCGCCUAACACAUGCAAGUCGAACGAGAGAUGAGGAGCUUGCUCUUCAAAUCGAGUGGCGAACGGGUGAGUAACGCGUGAGGAACCUGCCUCAAAGAGGGGGACAACAGUUGGAAACGACUGCUAAUACCGCAUAAGCCCACGGCUCGGCAUCGAGCAGAGGGAAAAGGAGCAAUCCGCUUUGAGAUGGCCUCGCGUCCGAUUAGCUAGUUGGUGAGGUAACGGCCCACCAAGGCGACGAUCGGUAGCCGGACUGAGAGGUUGAACGGCCACAUUGGGACUGAGACACGGCCCAGACUCCUACGGGAGGCAGCAGUGGGGAAUAUUGCACAAUGGGGGAAACCCUGAUGCAGCGACGCCGCGUGGAGGAAGAAGGUCUUCGGAUUGUAAACUCCUGUUGUUGAGGAAGAUAAUGACGGUACUCAACAAGGAAGUGACGGCUAACUACGUGCCAGCAGCCGCGGUAAAACGUAGGUCACAAGCGUUGUCCGGAAUUACUGGGUGUAAAGGGAGCGCAGGCGGGAGAACAAGUUGGAAGUGAAAUCCAUGGGCUCAACCCAUGAACUGCUUUCAAAACUGUUUUUCUUGAGUAGUGCAGAGGUAGGCGGAAUUCCCGGUGUAGCGGUGGAAUGCGUAGAUAUCGGGAGGAACACCAGUGGCGAAGGCGGCCUACUGGGCACCAACUGACGCUGAGGCUCGAAAGUGUGGGUAGCAAACAGGAUUAGAUACCCUGGUAGUCCACACCGUAAACGAUGAUUACUAGGUGUUGGAGGAUUGACCCCUUCAGUGCCGCAGUUAACACAAUAAGUAAUCCACCUGGGGAGUACGACCGCAAGGUUGAAACUCAAAGGAAUUGACGGGGGCCCGCACAAGCAGUGGAGUAUGUGGUUUAAUUCGACGCAACGCGAAGAACCUUACCAAGUCUUGACAUCCCUUGACGAUGCUGGAAACAGUAUUUCUCUUCGGAGCAAGGAGACAGGUGGUGCAUGGUUGUCGUCAGCUCGUGUCGUGAGAUGUUGGGUUAAGUCCCGCAACGAGCGCAACCCUUAUGGUCAGUUACUACGCAAGAGGACUCUGGCCAGACUGCCGUUGACAAAACGGAGGAAGGUGGGGAUGACGUCAAAUCAUCAUGCCCUUUAUGACUUGGGCUACACACGUACUACAAUGGCGUUAAACAAAGAGAAGCAAGACCGCGAGGUGGAGCAAAACUCAGAAACAACAUCCCAGUUCGGACUGCAGGCUGCAACUCGCCUGCACGAAGUCGGAAUUGCUAGUAAUCGUGGAUCAGCAUGCCACGGUGAAUACGUUCCCGGGCCUU